GCCGCGGCAGCCUAGCCUGGCUGGGCGCGGGACUGCAGCUAUCCCGUUACCCGGGUUCAAAUCCCGGCCGCGGCUCCA
This 78-nucleotide transfer RNA is filed under the name Methanopyrus kandleri AV19. RNAcentral describes it as "tRNA-Cys". It matches the Rfam family "tRNA". Rfam says of the family: Transfer RNA (tRNA) molecules are approximately 80 nucleotides in length. Their secondary structure includes four short double-helical elements and three loops (D, anti-codon, and T loops). Lineage: Archaea; Methanobacteriati; Methanobacteriota; Methanopyri; Methanopyrales; Methanopyraceae. The record is from RNAcentral.